This 349-nucleotide RNase P RNA is filed under the name Clostridia bacterium. RNAcentral's name for it is "RNase P RNA component class A". It matches the Rfam family "Bacterial RNase P class A". From Rfam's summary of the family: Ribonuclease P (RNase P) is a ubiquitous endoribonuclease, found in archaea, bacteria and eukarya as well as chloroplasts and mitochondria. Its best characterised activity is the generation of mature 5'-ends of tRNAs by cleaving the 5'-leader elements of precursor-tRNAs. Lineage: Bacteria; Bacillati; Bacillota; Clostridia. The record is from RNAcentral.
AAACUGUUCCGAACAAUCGCGCGGCAACAUACCGAAAGGUCUUGCCGUGAGGAAAGUCCGGGCUCCGCAGAGCAGGAUAACGGAUAACGUCCGCCGAAGGCGACUUCAGGGCCAGUGCAACAGAAAUAAACCGCCGCGUGUUUUCGCGGUAAGGAUGGAAAGGCGAGGUAAGAGCUCACCGGCGUGCGGGAGACCGUACGGCCAUGUAAACCCUAUCCGGAGCAACACCGCAUAAGGAGCGUCAAUGCUUGCUCGGCAGCUCCAAAGGUGGCAAGGACGUUUGCGGCAACGUAAACGCAAGAUAGAUGAUUGUUUUUAACAGAACCCGGCUUACAGGGACAGUUUGCCA